Molecule: long non-coding RNA, 1092 nt
Filed under: Equus caballus (horse)
Lineage: Eukaryota; Metazoa; Chordata; Mammalia; Perissodactyla; Equidae
Description: lncRNA (ENSECAG00000050407.1)
Source: RNAcentral
GGCAUUCCAUAUGCAGAAUUAACAGCACCUUUAAAUAUAUAAUACCAAAACUGAAACCCUGAAGGCUUUACUAACUGCCUAAAUCAGCAAUUCUAGGUUCAAACACGUAUGAGAAGAGGCAAGAAACGGGAUGGCGGAGAGGUCGUGUCUAUGCCAUCACCACCAAAUCUUUCCAUCAGCCAUGUGGUUCUCAAGAUGGCAAAGAGCUGGUCAGACUGAAGUUUUUCCUUAGUUGAGCUGCUGUUUUGGCGGCAGAGAAUCAACGGGAAGCGAGAAAUCUUCCUCCUCAAAGCAGCGAAAACGGGCCGGGCGCCCACCCCUGCGGACCGCCGCCCCGCGCAGCCCCGCGCCCGGCUGCCCUCGCCCUCGGCGGCCGGAGCCGCGGACCCGCGGGCGGAGAGGGCGUCCCCCCGGCCGGCGCAGCCCACCCCGGGGGCCGCGCGCCUCGCUCCCAGGGCCUCCUGUGGCUGCGAGGCGGGAGCAGGCUUCGCCGCCUCCCUCCCGCUCGCCCGGCUUCCAGGUUCAAUAAGGAUUACAUCAUGGAGCAAGUAUGCGGGGCAGCCUGAGAAUCAAAGCCGUCACAAUCAGCGGCUGGUUAACUGUAAUGUUGCUGAAACACACCCUCCCCGCUCCGGCCCCCUCCCCUCCCCACCCCGGCCCUCUGCUUGUCGUACUAUUAAGGAUAGCAUUAUUGGGGAAGAGGAAAAUCUGAUCAAAACUGUCGACCGCCAACGGCAGACUUUCUAUGGAUUCUGUAAAGGCCACCUUAACGAUUUCCCUAAUUAAUGGAUGACAUCUUUGGCUGAAGGAGAGGCGAUGGAUUCGACUCUGUCUUCGUCUUUGUUAACCUUCUAAUUAACUUUCGUAGGUCACCCAGGUCUCCCAAACCCAAAAAGUGAAGAGGCCCAUUGUGCGAGGAGCAGUAAACUUACUUUUUCUGCUGGGGUACUUAAAAGGGGAACGAUUAUAGGCCGAGAAAAAUAACUCCAUUUAAAAGCUUUGUGGCCGCGGAGAAUGCAUAGGUCCCUCCCUUAGAAAAUAAUUGAAACACCUUUUAUACCAAUAUUUCUAUGCAUAAUAAAAACAAAUUAG